RNAcentral lists this long non-coding RNA (501 nucleotides) under Fukomys damarensis (Damara mole-rat). RNAcentral describes it as "lncRNA (ENSFDAG00000032037.1)". The record is from RNAcentral. Lineage: Eukaryota; Metazoa; Chordata; Mammalia; Rodentia; Bathyergidae.
GGAGAAAAUAUGAGAUGAUCCUUAGUUUAAAUUCUCUGCAAAGUUAAGAGUCUAUCAAAGUUCAUCCUGUGGUCAGAGAUGCUCGAUAAACUCCCUGUUUACCUCUGAACUGGGGGAUCUGAAGACACUGACAGUGGAACAAGGUUAUCUUCAUCUCUCUCCAUGGUAGAUUUUCACAACGUACAACACAGGAAACAAAGGGCAAAGACCAACACUAAAAGGUAACUUGGCUAAAAGACCACCCAUAUUUUGUCCCUGGAACUCCAAGUUCAUCAGAGAUCCAAGCUAUGAAGGAACCUUUUGCACAACAUCUUAUAUCUUUGGAUUGUGGUGGAUGUAUAACAUCAAGAGGAUGUGGAGGAGAUCUCUUCUGCAGACAACGAGAAGAAAAAGGCAAAGGAAUGCCUCGCUCCAAAGACAAUUGAAGAGAUGCGUAAAAUGUGGAAAGCAGUGCAAAAUUUUGUAGAAAAGCACCACUUGAAUAAAGCUGUAUUAGUGAGA